CCUACGGGAGGCAGCAGUGGGGAAUAUUGCUCAAUGGGCGAGAGUCUGAACCAGCCAAGUCGCGUGAAGGAUGACUGCCCUAUGGGUUGUAAACUUCUUUUAUAAAGGAAUAAAACGCGGCACGUGUGCCUUUUUGCAUGUACUUUAUGAAUAAGGAUCGGCUAACUCCGUGCCAGCAGCCGCGGUAAUACGGAGGAGCCGAGCGUUAUCCGGCUUUAUUGGGUUUAAAGGGAGCGUAGAUGGGUUGUUAAGUCAGUUGUGAAAGUUUGGGGCUCAACCGUAAAAUUGCAAUUGAUACUGGUAGGCUUGAGUACAGGUGAGGUAGGCGGAAUUCGUGGUGUAGCGGUGAAAUGCUUAGAUAUCAGGAAGAACCCCGAUUGCGAAGGCAGCUUACUAAACUGUGACUGACGUUGAGGCUCGAAAGUGUGGGUAUCAAACAGGAUUAGAUACCCCAGUAGUC
This 460-nucleotide ribosomal RNA is filed under the name uncultured bacterium. Its description in RNAcentral is "partial 16S ribosomal RNA". It matches the Rfam family "Bacterial small subunit ribosomal RNA", at positions 338 to 795 of the family's 1533-position model. The record is from RNAcentral.